CGAAUUGCGAUAUGUAAUGUGAAUUGCAGAAUUCAGUGAAUCAUCGAAUCUUUGAACGCACCUUGUG
This 67-nucleotide ribosomal RNA is filed under the name uncultured Clavariaceae. RNAcentral's name for it is "partial 5.8S ribosomal RNA". It matches the Rfam family "5.8S ribosomal RNA", at positions 49 to 115 of the family's 154-position model. From Rfam's summary of the family: 5.8S ribosomal RNA (5.8S rRNA) is a component of the large subunit of the eukaryotic ribosome. It is transcribed by RNA polymerase I as part of the 45S precursor that also contains 18S and 28S rRNA. The record is from RNAcentral. Lineage: Eukaryota; Fungi; Basidiomycota; Agaricomycetes; Agaricales; Clavariaceae.